This 253-nucleotide ribosomal RNA is filed under the name uncultured bacterium. Its description in RNAcentral is "partial 16S ribosomal RNA". It matches the Rfam family "Bacterial small subunit ribosomal RNA", at positions 524 to 776 of the family's 1533-position model. The record is from RNAcentral.
UACAGAGGUCCCAAGCGUUACUGAGAAUCACUGGGUUUAAAGGGUGCGUAGGUGGUCCGUUAAGUCAGUUGUGAAAUCCCCGGGCUCAACCCGGGAACUGCUUCUGAUACUGGCGGACUUGAGACCAGUAGGGGUCACUAGAACUGACGGUGGAGCGGUGAAAUGCGUAGAUAUCGUCAGGAAUGCCGGUGGUGAAGACGGGUGACUGGGCUGGUUCUGACACUGAGGCACGAAAGCGUGGGGAGCGAACGGG